RNAcentral lists this ribosomal RNA (474 nucleotides) under Triticum aestivum (bread wheat). Its description in RNAcentral is "partial small subunit ribosomal RNA". Lineage: Eukaryota; Viridiplantae; Streptophyta; Magnoliopsida; Poales; Poaceae. The record is from RNAcentral.
AUGAUGGAAAAACUGCUGGCUAAUACUUUUACAGGAGAUGGAACAAAGCAUCAUGAUGAACAUCUACUCUAUGUGGAUGAAGUUUGUGGAUUAUUUAAGCUUGCAGGUAUACCCGAUGAUGUUGUUAAGAAGGUCUUCCCUUUAUCUUUGAAGGAAUACACAUUGACAUGGUAUAGGCUAUGUGAUGAUACGGGAUCAUGGAACUAUAAAAGAUUGAAAUUGGAAUUUCAUCAAAAGUAUUACCCUAUGCAUUUUGUUCAUCGUGAUCGCAAUUAUAUAUAUAAUUUUUGGCCUCGCGAAGGAGAAAGCAUCGCUCAAGCUUGGGGGAGACUUAAAUCAAUGUUAUAUUCAUGCCCCAAUCAUGAUCUCCCAAGAGAAAUAAUUAUUCAAAGUUUUUAUGCUCGGCUUUCUGAUAACAAUCGCACCAUGCUCGAUACUUCUUGUGCUGGCUCUUUUUAUCAUGAAGACUAUUGA